CCCCGCGCCCGCGGAGCCCCGGCUCCCGCCUGCCCAGCCCCCUCCCGGGGAGCGAGCCGGGACCCAGGGGUGGGAGCAGAGUCGGGGCUUUGUGGCGCCGGGGGCCGAGGAAGAAUGAAACGUGCAGUUGGGAGUGUUGCUCGCGUCCCAGGGAGCAGCGCAGGCCCGAUUGUCUGCCGCCGAGAUGGCCUUUUGUUCGGAGCAUAAGGUUUAAGAAACACACACACGUUUUCUGGGGUCUCUUGUUGGAUGUAAAUGUGCCGCAUCCAGACGCUCGCGGNNNNNNNNNNNNNNNNNNNNNNNNNCGCCCCGCCCCGCCCCGCCCCGCCCCGGCGACCGGGACCGUUGGGACGCGGACCUCACCCAGACUUCUGGGCCGCCGGCACUGCCUUCGCCCCGUUUCACUCCAGACUAGCCAAGCAUCCCACGGAGAUGAUAAAGCAAACAAUAACAUCUGAUCAUGACGUCCACGAGAUAAUGUGCCCGGCAAAGUUCUUUAGGAAUCGGGAUGAGCGGGAGGGUGAGGGAGUGAUCGUUUCCCUUCGUUUUCCUUAAACGUGACUUUAAGAGAUAAAUGGUGAAGUUUAUACCUUGGCCUGCUGGACAGCCGGUCCGCCCCAUGGCACGAAGCUCGGCAUCAAAGGGCCAAAUUAGACAUUCGACCGGGAGCCCUCGAAGCUGAGGAUGUUACCUUUGAAGAACAGAAACAAUGAAAAUACAGAGGAAUUGCAUUUGGAUACUUCUUCCUGUCAAUCAUCUUUGCCAGAUUCCUAUUUGAACAUCCUGAAAAUGAGGAAGACAUCAGAUCUCGCCUUAAGGAAGUCUGAUACCCAGGAGAUGAUCCGAGUUUCAACUCUCUGUGGUGAAAAGAGGGUGAAGAGCAGCAGAAAAUCCAAUUCUCUUGACCUUCAGGACAUGGAGCAGAACUCAUCGCUUCCACCUGGCCUACCCAAAAAUCCCCAGCCUGCCCCAUCUGCCAAGGUGGAUCCAGGAGAAGGGGAAGCAAUAUCCAGUUGUGUAUCACCUUACAGUUUUUAAGGUUAGUUUACUCAAAGAAAUCUCACUCCUGUUUAUUUUUGCACGCAUUUAUUCAACAGUUAGUUACUGAGACUUUUUCUAUCAGUGUCCUAAGCUCCUAUCCCCAUUAGCUAUCUAGCCCUGCUUUGUCCCUUCUUCCAUUUCAUACGUCCAAUCUGAGCUCUAUAAUUCUAGUUCUACGAGCUCUAGAGGAUUUUUUUCCUCAAUCCUGUAUCUUUCACUUUUUUCCCCAAGGCCUAAAAUGAGAAAAUAAGAAAUGUGAUGAGCUCAGGGAAUGAUGUAGGAAUAAAUGUAUAGGCUAGGAUAUUUAAUGAUUAUUA
This 1358-nucleotide long non-coding RNA is filed under the name Vulpes vulpes (red fox). Its description in RNAcentral is "lncRNA (ENSVVUG00000018530.1)". The record is from RNAcentral. Lineage: Eukaryota; Metazoa; Chordata; Mammalia; Carnivora; Canidae.